Molecule: long non-coding RNA, 313 nt
Filed under: Helianthus annuus (common sunflower)
Lineage: Eukaryota; Viridiplantae; Streptophyta; Magnoliopsida; Asterales; Asteraceae
Description: sRNA HanXRQr2_Chr09g0397251
Source: RNAcentral
GGUUUUGGCUUUGUUACUUUUACGGACUAUGACGCUGGCAAUGAUGCAAUCGAUGAUAUGGAUCAGUGGGAGUUGCAUGGUCGAACGAUAAGUGUGUGUUGGGCCAACAAAAGACCAUGACGUGGUGGCCUUCCUCGUAGAAGGAAGCUACAGGGACAUUGACGAGUGUUUGAAUCUGCUAUAUUAUGCAGGCGUUUAUUUUCCGAAUGUUGAAUCUGCAAUAUGCAAACUUUAUUUAUGCCUGUAACCUGUAAGCUACAGAGACAAUUAGUGUUCUUGGGGUUAACAGGAUAUAAUGAUUGGUUCCUUUUCG